Dreissena polymorpha is the source of this 1565-nucleotide long non-coding RNA. RefSeq lists it as uncharacterized. The transcript has 2 exons. Lineage: Eukaryota; Metazoa; Mollusca; Bivalvia; Myida; Dreissenidae. The record is from RefSeq and is a predicted model, not a curated record.
UGUGUUGUCAAACACGGAAGAAAGUAAAAUAUGGGUUUUUUUAUUGCAAAACUCAAUAGUGCGUAUGUUGUUUUUUUAUAAAUGUAGAUUAAAAUAGUAUAACUGAUAAAUGAUUCGUUUCCUUUACAUAAGUAUAUGCAUAUACAUCACAGAACGCGUAAAUACUGAUUCUCUCGUUUACACUUAAGUUACACAGAGACUAAAAUUAAAAGCCAAGUUGAAUACAGAAUUAACUUUAGUAUUCGCACAAAUAAAUUAAAUUUAUCAUUAGCCUUGGAGUACUAAGAUCAUUUAAACGUUACAGUAUCUUUUUCUUUCCUCAUAACUGGCAGUGACAACAUUAUUUGUUGGCAGGAAAUUCAAGAUGCUGUGCAUUUAUUGACAGAUUCAUUAUUGUGUGUUAUAUGACAAUGACAUUUAUUAUUAACUAAAAUGCAUUUGAAUGGUACUGGUAGUUUAUUAAUGUAAGCCCAAAACUCAAAGUUAACCCUUUAAGCGCUGGAACUGAAUUUUGAAGGCCUUUGCAAACAGUUUGGUUCCAUAUGAGACGCCACAGAACGUGGCGUCUCAUCAGGAUCCAAAUUGUUUGGUAUUCUGAUAGUAUUCUUUGAAAAAAAUCAAAGAAAUGGUUAAUUUUAGAAAUUCAGCGGAUGACAUUUAGCAGAUGACAAAUUUCCGAGCAUGCAAACGGUUAAUGUAUUUAUAUCAGUUUCUUCUGCACAGCUAUUUUAUAAAUAAAUUGAAUAACCAAAAUAUUUUUGAAAAUAGUAACACAGUUUAGUAAUUCAUGGCAUCAAAUGCAUGUAGCUGGCGCCAGACAACUCGCCCCAAUACCAACUUGCCCCAAAACAAACUCGCAUCAAACAUAUGGUCAAUCGAUCCAACCAAGAGACAACUCGCCCCAAUUUAUUUUCGUGCAUCUUAUUGUUUCUUGAUUUAAAGUAUUUUAUCUUUAUAUUCUUUGUUAAUUUAUCAAAUCACGUAUAUAUUUUGAUAAAUGUGUAUUUCAACAGUACAUUGUAUUUUGAAUAAAUCAAAUACAGGUCAUCUGAAAUGCAUGUAUCAUUAUAUUUGUAAAAGCCAAGAAUAUUCUGGAUAUUCCUCUUUUUUCAAUUGUUUUGAAUAUCCUCAAGAUUUGAUUUCCUGAAUGUCGAAGAAAACUUAUUAGAUAAUAAUACCACAUAUUCACAACUCAGUUUUUUGAAUAGAGACCAUAAAUUGUUUUAAAAAGUGGUUUAAAUUGUGUAUUUACUUUUUCAAUAGGAUACAACCAUAAUUAAACCAAGAAGUUUAUGAAGAAGGGAUCACUGGAUUUUGUCACUUUGGUAUAAGAAACAGAAAAGGAUAUCAUAGACCUACUUACUUAUACACAAGCAUAGGAGCUGUUGAAGGAAAUUGCUGCCAGACAGUCAGCAGUUAUCACUGACAGCCUGUCCUGGCCCAGCUUGGACCAUCCUCAAGCUAACCAUGAUGGUGUGUUUGCAAGAAUUGUCCAUUUGGUAGACCAUGAUGAAGACCAGCUUUGUUGUGGCAUGGCCUGACAAUACUGUACAAGCCAGAGACCA